Grus americana (Whooping crane) is the source of this 3494-nucleotide RNA transcript. It is a transcript of the gene named intraflagellar transport 56, with no coding region annotated. The record is from RefSeq and is a predicted model, not a curated record. NCBI's taxonomy places the organism in Eukaryota, Metazoa, Chordata, Aves, Gruiformes, Gruidae. The transcript is spliced from 16 exons.
GGCGCCGUCGGCCGAGCGAGGAGCUCGGGCUCAGCGGCAGGAUGAUGCUCUCCCGGGCCAAGCCGGCCGUGGGGGGUACCCCGCCGCCGGGAGACAGGAGGAGGAAGAAGGGGAAGAAGGUGCCGCAGCUGGAAGAGCUCCUGGCCCUGAGGGACUUCACCGGCGCGAUCGCCUUGCUCGAGUUUAAACGGCACGUGGGUGAGCAGGAGGAGGAUGCUGACCUUUGGAUUGGAUACUCUGCCUUUCAUUUGGGUGACUACAAGAGAGCACUGGAGGAAUAUGAGGCCUUAACCAAACAACCAGAUUGUAAUCCAGAUGUCUGGGUGAACCUUGCCUGUACGUACUUCUUUCUGGGGAUGUAUACACAAGCUGAACAAGCAGCCUUGAAAGCACCUAAGAGUCGUCUCCAGAACCGUUUACUCUUUCACCUGGCACAUAAGUUCAGUGAUGAGAAGAAACUGAUGAGCUCUCACCAGAAUCUGCAAGACAUUACAGAAGAUCAGCUUAGUUUGGCAUCUAUCCACUACAUGCGGUCCCAUUACCAAGAAGCUAUUGAUAUCUACAAACGCAUUCUUCUCGAUAAUCGGGAAUACCUGGCUCUGAAUGUAUAUGUGGCCCUAUGCUAUUACAAACUGGAUUACUAUGAUGUAUCACAGGAAGUACUAGCUGUUUAUCUUCAGCAAGUUCCUGACAGCACCAUUGCUCUUAACCUUAAGGCUUGUAACCAUUUCCGACUUUACAAUGGGAAGGCUGCAGAGGCAGAGCUCAAGAACUUGACAGACAGUGCCUCAUCAUCUUUUGAGUUUGGCAAGGAGCUCAUUAAGCACAAUCUGGUGGUGUUCCGAGGAGGAGAAGGGGCUUUGCAGGUUCUGCCUCCUCUGGUUGAUGUUAUUCCUGAGGCAAGACUGAAUCUUGUCAUUUACUAUCUCCGGCAAGAUGAUGUGCAGGAGGCUUAUAACCUGAUUAAGGACCUGGAACCUACAGCUCCACAGGAGUACAUCCUCAAAGGAGUGGUAAAUGCAGCACUUGGACAAGAAAUGGGCUCGAGAGAUCAUCUGAAAAUUGCUCAGCAGUUCUUCCAGUUGGUGGGUGAAUCAGCCAGCGAAUGUGAUACCAUUCCAGGGAGACAGUGCAUGUCCUCCUGCUUCUUUCUUCUUAGACAGUUUGGUAAUGUCCUGAUUUACCUCAACUCAGUCAAGAGUUACUUCUACAACGAUGACACUUUUAACUUCAACUACGCCCAAGCCAAAGCUGCCAUGGGCAAUUUUAGUGAGGCUGAAGAGAUCUUCAUGUUGGUUGAAAAUAAGCAGGUUGGGUGGAACAUCAUCUUCCCCUUCUUAGAGGAACUGAAACUCUCAGUGAACACUAUUCAGAGAAGAUUAUCUUGCUAAUCUUGUAAUGUGAGGUAUAUGGGGAGUCAUGCUGCUUGUGGUGCAUCACAAGAGUGCUUGCAGCUAUCUCUAAUUGAUCAAAGAAUACCCUCUUAAUCAGAUUUCCUAUGCUUUGUCUGGGAUCCCAGGCAGUCUUAUUGUUGAGACUGACUAGGGCAUGCUGAGUAAAAGACACUGAAUAGUUAAGACCGUCUAGGUGUCCCUGGAAAUUUGUAUUUAAAAAAAAUUUUCUUCCUCUGGGAGAUGUGGGAGGAAAAGAGGAAGUGCUCACUAUCUUAUUCAGCAGCAUCCAGAUGCAGCUGGAAGAGAUUAACUUCUACGCACAGCAUUUUUUGUCUAUGUGCAGUAGAACCUUAAUUACAACUGAAAUAUGCAAAAGCAAAUAGCUAUUAUGAAGAUGGCAGUAACAUUUUCCACAAGACUAGAAAGAAGACAAGCCAGAAAAAAACAACCAUGUAGUCUAAAGUGAAUCAUAUAGGUUUGGUUGGUUUGCGGUUUUUUUGUGUUUUUCCUGUUUAACUUUUUAACUCUUGUUUCUUGACAAUAGAGGCCCCCUGGUUUUGGGGGGUUUCUUUUCUGUUUUCUUUUCUUUUCUUUUCCUCCCAGUACCCACCUCCCUUAAUUUCUGUGACCUGAAAUUGCAUCUCUCUUUAAGAAAAAUAUCGAAGACUGUCAGGCAAAAUGUAUAUAUAUUUCAGUUCACCCACCUUAAUUUAGUUAGCUUAAUGAAAAUGCAGGUGAGUAUCUUAAAACUAUGCUAGCAGGCUAUGCUGAUAAAAAUGAUAAUGCUAUGAGUAAGCUUUAGCUACAGCCAGGCAACAAACAAACACAAAGGUGUAAACUGCUGUUAAUCCACAUUUUUCCUCUUAUAUUCCUACAAAUGAUUCUAUAUAAACUUGUGUUAUGUAGCUGAUGCAUUUAAAUAACAGGAUUAUGUAAUUAAAUUGAUUAGACUGUCCUAAUGUCUGAUCUUUGCUUGUGAUGAUGCUUUCAUAUAAACAUCACAAUUCCCCAGUGUCUCAUAAACUCGUAAAAUAUCUCCACAUAAAACAUUUAUUAACUUACUAAGAAGUUUACCUCGCUGGACAUAAUGAAGAAAAAAAAAACCCCAAAACUAUGAUAAAGUGAUAUUUACACUGAUAAUGCUCCUUUUUUUUCUUUUUCUCCUUUACCACUCCCAAAAUUAGGGGGUCAGCAAUGUUUAACCAAUAAAAACGUCAGUAAUUUGUGGAACUCGUUGUUCCAGUACGUACAUCUGCUCCUAUAAAGGUAUUUUGAGUUCUGCCAGUAGCAUCCUCGUAUAGUUACAAAUAUACCUCCAGAGAGGCAUAAAUAGUUGGGGUUUUUUCUGUGAGUAAAGCCAGAGUACAUUUUAAAAUUUAUAACUUCCCCCCAUGCAUCACUUUAGAUGUAGAAUAUAAUAAACCUGUAUUUGUACAGCAAGUUAGAAAAGACGAACAUUUUGCCUUGGAGCCUUACUGACACCAAAAUGAUUAGAAAUGGCUUAUUGCUGACCUGGAGUGAUCUCUGACAUGUAUGGGGAGGAAAGGCUUAUAUAUAUGUGAAACUUCUGGUAUUUCAAGAAGACGCUAAUGUAAUUGCUUGCAUUGCUUUCUAAACAAACACAUUCCAAAUAGCUUUUCCCACAGGCCCAGUGUUCCUUUGUGCUGUUCAUGUUGCAUGGCCGCCCACUGGCACUUGUUCAGAGCAGGCCGCACCCUCCGCACAGCUUGGCGUUUUGCAGCUGCAGAAGUCCCUAGAUAAGCGUGGCACUGUUUGAAUCCUCCACCUACCCGACACAGAGAGAUGCCCCUGCACUGCACUUGCAUACACUAACUCUUCUCAUGAAGCAGUUGUUUGUGUGGCUUAAGUCUUAGCUGCGUGUUGAAACGAGGCAGGUCUGCCUUCUGUUUGUUUAAAGUACGUGCAUGUAUAAUCUUUUAUUUGCCUUCUUCCUGCAGGUGUUCCUUUUGAUCCAGAGUGAGAAGAUAAAGAAUGAUUUUGUUUACCUUAGCUGGCUAGCUCGCUGCUAUAUUAUGAAUAAGAAACCACAGUUGGCCUGGAAGCUCUAUCUGAAGAUGGAGACCUCAGGGGAGUCCUUUA